RNAcentral lists this ribosomal RNA (464 nucleotides) under uncultured bacterium. Its description in RNAcentral is "partial 16S ribosomal RNA". It matches the Rfam family "Bacterial small subunit ribosomal RNA", at positions 28 to 507 of the family's 1533-position model. The record is from RNAcentral.
GACGAACGCUGGCGGCGUGCUUAACACAUGCAAGUCGAACGAUGAACCGGUUUCGGCCGGGGAUUAGUGGCGAACGGGUGAGUAACACGUGGGCAAUCUGCCCUGCACUCUGGGAUAAGCCCGGGAAACUGGGUCUAAUACCGGAUACGACACUCCGAGGCAUCUUGGGGUGUGGAAAGUUCCGGCGGUGCAGGAUGAGCCCGCGGCCUAUCAGCUUGUUGGUGGGGUAAUGGCCUACCAAGGCGACGACGGGUAGCCGGCCUGAGAGGGUGACCGGCCACACUGGGACUGAGGCACGGCCCAGACUCCUACGGUAGGCAGCAGUGGGGAAUAUUGCACAAUGGGCGAAAGCCUGAUGCAGCGACGCCGCGUGAGGGAUGACGGCCUUCGGGUUGUAAACCUCUUUCAGCAGGGAAGAAGCGAAAGUGACGGUACCUGCAGAAGAAGCACCGGCUAACUACGUG